UUCGGGUAAAUAGUUCCAAGUUGGUCCGAGU
Molecule: non-coding RNA, 31 nt
Filed under: Mus musculus (house mouse)
Lineage: Eukaryota; Metazoa; Chordata; Mammalia; Rodentia; Muridae
Source: RNAcentral